AACCUUCAGAAGGUUUCAGGUAAUUAUCCAGAUCACAUUAACUGGCAGCUGCAAUACCUGCUGCAAUCCUGUACACACCAUUGUUUUCCAUACUUCCAGUCCAACCACAGCCCUUCCCUCGUGACCGUACACCAGAAAACAGGCUUUGCUUGCAGUGCAGGGCAUCAUAGAGUCCUCAUACAGGGACUCUCCAUUCCUUGUCAUCACUUGUUAUGAAAAUACUGCAUUCCCACUCUAUUUUAGGAUUUGCUCUCUGCAAAUGAUGAUAAUAAUUGGGACUGUGCCUCACUUCAGAAUUUUUCUACUCCCUACAGUACCCAAGGACAGAUUUUGUCUUCUGAUAUCUUCCAGAAUGAUGUCCUGAAUAAAGUUAAUUUUACUUUUGUUUCCAUCUGUAUUUCCUGGGUUCACUGAGUAUUCAAAUCAUCAUUUAAGGCAUGAACAGCAAUUGCAAGACAGCUAACCUGAAGACAUUCAACUGCCUUUUGCUACAUGAAGGUCCUGUUUYCCUCCCUUUGGCAAUUAUACCAAUGUCCUGGAAGAAUUCUCUAAUGCUGACUAACAUCUUCUAUUUUACAUCUGCAAGUACAGGGCACUUCAUUAUGUGCAGGAACUGAAAUGCUUAAAUGGAUGAAGCAGCUAUUUACGUCUGAUAGGAGCUAAGUGGGACAUUAAAUUAAUGCCAAACAAGUGAGUGCUCAUUUUAGUUUCGUUAUAAAUGGCUGCAGCAAAGCAGUAAUGUGUUGACUCUCCUGUGCUGACAAGUACURUAUUUCUUACAAACUUCCCUUAGAACUCAAUGUGGAAAGACAAAUUCACACUCUGCAUGAUAAAAUUAGCAGUAGAUACAUUAAUAAUUGAAUAAGGAUCUCUGGGGAAACACCAUAGUUUACCAGGAGAGUUGGUGACUGACUGGUUUUAAGAAGAGGCUCCUGUCAUUACUAUGCACUCACAUAAGCCCAAGGUAAGAGCCACUGCUUCUGGCCUUUGGUAUCAAAUCCACUUCCUGCUUUUAGGAGACCUCAGCUUACUUCCAUAAUAAGCAUUCUGCAGAUCCRUGAGCAGACUGCCUACAAUUAAUCUUGGCAGUGUAUGGACUUGCUCGUCUAUGGUUCCUCUGGGACUGUUCUCAAACUUACAGUCAAAUUCAAGACAGUCCCUUUUCACUGUCUCCAGACGAUGACUGGAGUAUGAGUGAAUGAAGGACUUUCUCACUGUAUGACAAGACUCUUGCCAUAUGUCUCCAWAUCUUCAGUUCAUACAAAGCUGAAACAUUUUCCUGAAGAGGAAAACCCACUGGAAGGGCCAACUUCUGUCAGAAAAGCAUUAAGUGAGCAUACUGCCAUCUUCAUUUCCAUCCCUGUAAGCAAAGCUGAGGUCCUUUGAAUGACUCACAGGCAUAGCAUGCUUAACAUGCAUUCCACGUUUUGGGAGUGUGUGGGUAGGGCAGGAAGAAAGGACCUCCUCUCUUUUGGACAGUAGCAAAGAAAAUAAGAUGAUUUCUAGGAAAAAAACCUGCUUUUUACAGCCACCAACAAGGCCAUGAUGCAUUACUAAUACCAAAACUAUGAUCAUUCCUUACACCAAAUAAUUUUGUGUUCAAAGACAUUGGCA
Dromaius novaehollandiae (emu) is the source of this 1614-nucleotide long non-coding RNA. Lineage: Eukaryota; Metazoa; Chordata; Aves; Casuariiformes; Dromaiidae. The record is from Ensembl.